UCAAGUAGCUCUUGUGAAUUGGUGUUGUUUUGGCCUACAACAAAAUAGAAAAGGUAUGUGAAUUUGAUGGUAAAUAACCAUAAUAGAUGAAACAUUCUUCUGCUGCUACAAUCACUGUUUCUGAUCAUUAUAGUUUAUAUAUGAUGAUACUUGUUUGUGCCUUAGAGGUGUUGAUUUCAUAAUAGUAUGUGAUUAAUUUAUGAAACAUUUAAUAUGGAUGUAACAUACACUUUAUUAUGUUAAAAUAAUCAUAAAAUGGCUGCCAUGCAGGGUAAAAUUUCUGACCAUGGAAUAAUAAAUUUGAAACUCAGAAAAAUAUUGCUAAACUUGGACUUUAUAAUAAUAAUAAUAAUAUUGCUAAACUCAACUUUGCAAGUGCUGAUUUAUUUAAUUAAUCUUAUUUAGAUUGAAAGGGUCUCAUUCAUAUCAGAAAACAUGUCUGGGGUGGGCCAGGCAACAGAGAAAUUUUGAUAUUGAAAAGUGAAUGAGAUAAGGAAGAGUCCAAAUUAUUGAACAUGUUGAAGUAUUAUAAAAAUUUGUCAACUUUUAAGCCUACAUAAAAGAAGAGUAAAACAUUUUUGAGUCUCCAUUAGCCUUGUUAAAAAUUUAGUUUACUUUAAUCAAAUAACUUGUAUGUUCACGUCAAAUGACUUGUAUGAGUACAGUGUUUCAGGUUUUUGGUCACCAAAUUUACCCAUUUCUACAAGUUAUUUAUACUAUUUUUGUCUUGAUUAUGACUAGAUACUGCCUCAUAGGGCUGGGCAGCGGAUCGAGCGGUACGAGGCCAAAACCCCAAACGGACCCAACCGGGUGAAUAAGGUUGAUCCAAUUCUGACCGGAUUAAUAAUUCGGGUUUAUUUGGGUUUGGGUUUCUAGUUUGGUUUUCUCGAGCUUAAUAGAAUUGGGUCCAAAUGGAAAUAAUACAAUUUCUUGAUUUAAC
Molecule: long non-coding RNA, 940 nt
Filed under: Lathyrus oleraceus (garden pea)
Lineage: Eukaryota; Viridiplantae; Streptophyta; Magnoliopsida; Fabales; Fabaceae
Description: Pisum sativum (pea) long non-coding RNA (PSAT_LNC021827)
Source: RNAcentral